GUAGGUGGCAAGCGUUGUCCGGAAUUAUUGGGCGUAAAGCGCGCGCAGGUGGUUCUUUAAGUCUGAUGUGAAAGCCCCCGGCUCAACCGGGGAGGGUCAUUGGAAACUGGAGAACUUGAGUGCAGGAGAGGAAAGUGGAAUUCCACGUGUAGCGGUGAAAUGCGUAGAUAUGUGGAGGAACACCAGUGGCGAAGGCGACUUUCUGGCCUGUAACUGACACUGAGGCGCGAAAGCGUGGGGAGCAAACAGGGAUUAGAUACCCUGGUAGUCCACGCCGUAAACGAUGAGUGCUAAGUGUUGGGGGGGUUUCCCGCCCCUCAGUGCUGCAGCUAACGCAUUAAGCACUCCGCCUGGGGAGUACGGUCGCAAGACUG
RNAcentral lists this ribosomal RNA (374 nucleotides) under uncultured organism. RNAcentral describes it as "partial 16S ribosomal RNA". It matches the Rfam family "Bacterial small subunit ribosomal RNA", at positions 527 to 896 of the family's 1533-position model. The record is from RNAcentral.